Molecule: long non-coding RNA, 2170 nt
Organism: Quercus lobata
Lineage: Eukaryota; Viridiplantae; Streptophyta; Magnoliopsida; Fagales; Fagaceae
Exons: 3
Source: RefSeq, a predicted model, not a curated record
AAUAUUAAAUUAUUCUUGGCACAAUUUUACAAACCAAACGAGCUUGUCCCAUAUCGACCAGAUAGUAAGCAAAACUUUACUUUAUAAUACGCAAAACCGAACCGUCGGUCACGACCUUACUUGAACAGGAUCUGUUCUAUCGGAUCGUACCUCUGUAUCCUUGCUCACUAAGGAGACAGGACCCCAAACCUGGUGGAUGAACCAUGGCCGUGCGAUCAGAGCGUGAUUAACGGCCUUGAUCCUUCUGAUAGAUGGAUCACACUGUAGAGGAUCGUUCUCAGCUUGGGCUCGCCCAGCUUGGGAUGGUCGUACGGCUGUCUGACAGGUUCCCAAAAUCUUUUUGCUAGUGAGUGCAACAUUUUUUUGAACACAAGUUGUUUGAUAAAAUUCCCAAGUGACGUUCUGUUCUUAUUUCCAUGUUCACAAGUUGUUUGUGUAUUAUUAUUGGUGAUUUUUUGUUGCAAUUAUAUUGUGUUAUAGACAUUCUGCACCUGAGCUGAGCGUUGUGGGUAUGUACUGUUUUAUAUCUGAUUGCCUGUUGUUUAAUUCAGGUAAUAUAUCUAGUUUUCUAGUAAUACUUUUACACUGCUUAUUGUUGGCAAUGUGUUCAUGUGUUUGGAGAUGCUAGUGUUUGCUUCUCAAAUGUAUUGGAUGCCCUUGUUUACAUAUCCAUUUGCAUGUCUGCACCCAUUUGUUUUGACGUAUCAUAUACCUUCAUUAUAUUGAGUUACAUUCUGCACAUGAGAGAUCAAACUUAUCCAAAAAAAGAGACAAAGAGAAAUGACAUUAGAGAUCACAGUCAAUACCUCUUUUAUCUUUUAUUGAGAAAAAUAUGAGCAUCAAAGUGAGUAACAAUCAUAUGUCAUGCUAUGGGGUUUCUUUGUCUUAGGUGGUCGACCUCUCUCCCUCUUUCCAUAAAUCUGUAUUUAUUUUGCUUCUUAUAGAUGUUUUUUUCUGGAACAAUGAUCAAGAACAUUGGAUAUGCAUCUCCUUCUAGUCACAAGGAGGCCUCCACCUGUGUCUCUCUGUGCCUCCCUCUGUCUGUGUUCACUUCUUGAUGUUCAUAUGCUUGCUCUUAUGUGUCUGCAUUUGCUUAUGUACAUGCAAACUUUGGACUUUGCAGUCUCUUAUUCUGCAGUAGAGUAAGUGUUCCAUUGAGGAUAAAUUUAAAUGCACUCUCUUGGGAAUUAAACUUUGGUGAUAUACAUAUCGUUUUUAUGAUUAAAAAAAUGUUUAGUGUAACUAUUUUUGUCUAAAUCUUUCUUCCUGCAGAUUGGGAAUAUAUUUUAUCCUUGCUCAUUCACAGUAUUGGAUUCUCCCAAACCCAAUAUGGAAUUCCUCUUUGGGCUGGAUAUGCUCCGGAAGCACCAGGAAGCAUACCCUUUCUAAUAACUGAUGAACCUUUUCGUUUUCUUAGUUCUAAUUGAUGUUAUUUAGGUUUGUUAUUCUUUUCUGACUUAAUCAAAGUCUGCAUUGCAUUAUAGAUUUAAAGGAUAAUGUUUUGAGAGUUGGUUGGGGGGGGGGGGGGGGGGAGUUUCUGCACCAUUUUCGCAAGGUUGGCCUUCUAAUCUCUCCAUGUGCUUACUGUUCAAUAAUUGAACAAUUUCUGCAGUUAUUCCUGAAUUGCUUUAUUUACAAUUCACCAAUUAUCUAAAUAACUUUUAUGGACAACCUUUUUGAUAAAUAGAAAAUUAACUAAUUAAAUAGUGCAUUGUUUUCCGAAAAAGUCAUCCCAUUACACUUUCUUGAUGAAGAAAGGUUGUCCAAGCAAGCAUCCAGCUCAGGGACCCCAAUGACAUCAGGAACAACAGAUAGAAGCCACAUUGUCCCAACAGGGGGGUCUCAUGGUGAUACGAACCUGGGACCUGAUUUUGAAGUCAAAGUGGCAAAGCUUGUUGAGCUAGGGUUUAGAAGGGAAGCUGUCAUACAAGCUCUUAAAUUAUUUGAUGGAAAUGAAGAUCAGGCAGCAAAGUUUCUUUUUGGGGGUUGAAGUUAACAUUUAUUUUUAGACUUCAUUUUUUCUGGAAUAAUGUUUGGUUCGGUAAUGUAAUUACAAAUUAACAAAUUGAAAUUUGUGUACUUGAUACUGACAGCAUUCCUUUAAAGCUAUUUUGAACCCUGAAAUUGGUGUUGUAACUUGCAAUUCAAAUGAGAGAGUAAACAAAUUUCA